UACAGAGGUGGCAAGCGUUGUUCGGAAUUACUGGGCGUAAAGGGCGCGUAGGCGGCCUGCUAAGUCGAACGUGAAUCCCCGAGCUCAACUCGGGAACUGCGUCCGAUACUGGCAGGCUUGAAUCCGGGAGAGGGAUGCGGAAUUCCAGGUGUAGCGGUGAAAUGCGUAGAUAUCUGGAGGAACACCGGUGGCGAAGGCGGCAUCCUGGACCGGCAUUGACGCUGAGGCGCGAAAGCCAGGGAGCAAAGCGGG
Molecule: ribosomal RNA, 252 nt
Filed under: uncultured bacterium
Lineage: Bacteria
Description: partial 16S ribosomal RNA
Rfam family: Bacterial small subunit ribosomal RNA
Source: RNAcentral